UGGGGAAUUUUGGACAAUGGGCGCAAGCCUGAUCCAGCCAUGCCGCGUGCAGGAAGAAGGCCUUCGGGUUGUAAACUGCUUUUGUCAGGGAAGAAAUCCUUUGGGCUAAUACCCCGGAGGGAUGACGGUACCUGAAGAAUAAGCACCGGCUAACUACGUGCCAGCAGCCGCGGUAAUACGUAGGGUGCGAGCGUUAAUCGGGAUUACUGGGCGUAAAGCGUGCGCAGGCGGCUUUGCAAGACAGAUGUGAAAGUCCCCGGGCUCAACCUGGGAACUGCAUUUGUGACUGCAAGGCUAGAGUGCGGCAGAGGGAGAUGGAAUUCCGCGUGUAGCAGUGAAAUGCGUAGAUAUGCGGAGGAACACCGAUGGCGAAGGCAAUCUCCUGGGCCUGCACUGACGCUCAUGCACGAAAGCGUGGGGAGCAAACNGGAUUAAUACCCUGGUAGUCCACGCCCUAAANGAUGUCAACUGGUUGUUGGACGGCUUGCUGUUCAGUAACGAAGCUAACGCGUGAAGUUGACCGCCUGGGGAGUACGGCCGCAAGGUUGAAACUCAAAUGAAUUGAC
This 566-nucleotide ribosomal RNA is filed under the name uncultured bacterium. Its description in RNAcentral is "partial 16S ribosomal RNA". It matches the Rfam family "Bacterial small subunit ribosomal RNA", at positions 355 to 914 of the family's 1533-position model. The record is from RNAcentral.